AAAUAUUAAAAAAAAAACCCGUAGCAUCGUGUGGGGCUUUAAAGCUUGUUUCAUACUAAAGCAUUUUGUCAAGUUCUUGUAACAAAAACAUUGGAAUUUAUCAUUGUUAGUUAAUUUAUCUCUCUCUGCCAAUUGUAAGCCUGAAAAGCGGAAAUAUCCCUUCAUUAUUUCCUCUUAUCUUCUUUUUCCCCUUAGAAAGUGUUAAAGUUAGGGGCAAUUUGGAACUCUCUUUUGCUAUUUUAUUAGAACCAUAGAAAUUUGUGUUCGUACAAAGAAAUUGUAUUAAUUCAGCUUAUAUUUGAUGUCUUAGCUUUAAAUUACUUUUGUGGUUCAUUUUCUAGAAAAACUACUUUAUGUGCCUAAUUAGCCAUGGUUCUGCAACUACUUAUGUUUGAUAUUUCAAUCCUAAUGGGUCUGUUACUUCCUAUGUUUAAUUAGUUGACUUAAAUUUGAGCAGGCAUUAGCGAUAGUAAUGCAGCUACCUUUGGGCUUGGUGCCGUUCAGGUUAUUGCUACCGGUGUCACUACAUGGUUAGC
This 536-nucleotide unclassified non-coding RNA is filed under the name Hevea brasiliensis (rubber tree). Lineage: Eukaryota; Viridiplantae; Streptophyta; Magnoliopsida; Malpighiales; Euphorbiaceae. The record is from RNAcentral.